UACGGAAGGCAGCAAUGGGGAAUAUUGCACAAUGGGCGCAAGCCUGAUGCAGCCAUGCCGCGUGUAUGAAAAAGGCCUUCGGGUUGUAAAGUACUUUCAGUCGUGAGGAAGGUGUUAAGGUUAAUAACCUUAGCAAUUGACGUUAGCGACAGAAGAAGCACCGGCUAACUCCGUGCCAGCAGCCGCGGUAAUACGGAGGGUGCGAGCGUUAAUCGGAAUUACUGGGCGUAAAGGGCACGCAGGCGGUUAAUUAAGUUGGAUGUGAAAUCCCCGGGCUUAACCUGGGAAUGGCAUUCAAGACUGGUUAGCUAGAGUCUUGUAGAGGGGGUUAGAAUUCCAUGUGUAGCGGUGAAAUGCGUAGAGAUGUGGAGGAAUACCGGUGGCGAAGGCGGCCCCUGGACAAAGACUGACGCUCAUGUGCGAAAGCUGGGGAGCAAACAGGGAUUAGAUACCCG
This 455-nucleotide ribosomal RNA is filed under the name uncultured bacterium. RNAcentral's name for it is "bacterial SSU rRNA". It matches the Rfam family "Bacterial small subunit ribosomal RNA", at positions 340 to 788 of the family's 1533-position model. The record is from RNAcentral.